RNAcentral lists this long non-coding RNA (1052 nucleotides) under Pogona vitticeps (central bearded dragon). RNAcentral describes it as "lncRNA (ENSPVIG00000007506.1)". Lineage: Eukaryota; Metazoa; Chordata; Lepidosauria; Squamata; Agamidae. The record is from RNAcentral.
AAAAACAACUAUAUCCAGGGUUUAUUUGACAGAUAAGCAUGAAAAACAUGCUCUUUAUAUAUCAGGAACUAAAACACCUUCUGUCUGUUUGUUAGGUAUAACUGGAAAGUUGCGUUUACAUCCCUAUGAUGGGAGGCGGACUGAGAAAUUCUUGCCUUGCAACAUUCUCAGUGAUUUUGUGCAGAUCUGCAGUUCUCCCAUUCAUGUAGUUCUUUCCAAGCUAGAAGAUAGAAGAAGAGUUACAAGAGGGUGUUUCGUUUCUUUCAAGAGUUUCCAGUGGAAUGUUAUUCAUCAUUAAUGGGAGCUGAUCAUUAAGGGGAGAAAAAACAAGGGGAAGGAUAUUAAAGAGAAGGAAGACCUGAAGUGGAUUAAGUAAGGUAUUCUGCACAAGCCCUUUCAUUCUUCAAAGGUGACAGUCUGCCCUAUCAGACAGAAAAGAAAAGAAAAGAAAAAUUUUGUGGCACUUUAGACUUAUUGCUGUGUUUUAAUCUGAGCUUUUGUGGACAGGUCAACUUCUCCAGACAGUUUACCAUAGUAUUCUGACUACAAAAGUAUGGUUUUGCCAAGGCUAGUUUACAGAUGACCUUUCAUUUAUGCCAUCAAAAGCUUACGACCUUUAAAGCUGGGUUCUAUUUCCUACAUUUUCUCCAAAAACAAGUAUGGUGGCAAACUGCCACAUAUCUUCUUGAACAUAAUAUCACAAGACAUUAGCCUUGACAAAUCAAACACUUAACAGUAUUUUGUGUAUUGAUUUCAUGGUCAAAACAAAACCAAAACCCCUAGAACAGUUAAUGUCAAACUUAUCAAAAGUUUCUCAAUGAGUGAAAUAAUGAGAAAGAAGACUUCUUGAAAGAUGGGUUGUUCACCAUUGUACUCAGUUGCCUUACUGGUCCUCCUUUGUCAUAGGUAAGUGAUAUAUCUCCAGGUAAUUCCUCAGUCUCUUGGAGCAACAGUGAAACCCAACAGGCCUAGUCAGCACCAUGCAUGAGCUGACUGAAACAUGCCCCAGAAUCCUCUGCAAUCACAGAUUUACUAUGCUACAUGUCUUAGGA